This 2909-nucleotide long non-coding RNA is filed under the name Triticum aestivum (bread wheat). RNAcentral describes it as "long non-coding RNA (TAES_LNC018293)". Lineage: Eukaryota; Viridiplantae; Streptophyta; Magnoliopsida; Poales; Poaceae. The record is from RNAcentral.
ACACAGUUCCCUUUCUCGUCUCGUAGGAUCCCUAUAUAUUUUUUUUUUGAGGGGAUAGGAUCCCUAUAUUGAGAAGAUCAAUCAUGGCAUGCCUUCCCUCCUGAACCUCAUAGCUGACCCGGCCGAUUCAUUGAUGUUGAGGGCACAAGAGGCGUGUCUUGUUCAGCAACUGGGACGGAAAGCAGAUCAAUCCCCACCCCCGAUUCACAGAAACACAAGGUAAAUACUAGUACGACUUGAAGAUUUUGCCUCCUCCCCCCUUGGUUCAGAUCUGUCCCUUCUAUGAUUUCUGAUUACUCCUCUCUUGUGUGAAUUUGAUAGUGCACACCAAGUGUUUGAUAGUUGUCCUCUGUUAUUGGUUUAAAAUUUUGGGGGCCUUCAGAUAGAGGGGGUUGUUUCUGAUUCUUCUUCUAUAAGGUUACACAUUCCCUACUCGAUUGACAUUAGCUUUUUAGCUUUUAUUCAUUAUAGUGCCCUGACGCUUGUUUGUUUUGGUGUUCGUAGGUCUACUGAACAUAAGAGGUGGCUUAAAUCUGGUAACUGUUAGGGUGUCAGGUGUGGACGCGUACAAUAUUUCAAUCUAGUUCUGCACCAUUACUACCUUGGUGAGUUCAAUCUCUUCAUAGACCUUCGUUGUGGAACUCCAAUUCUGACUAUCCUAUUGUAGUUGGGUAGUACCGUUGGGUUAGUUCUUGCCUAACAUUGCGGUUGAACACCUAGCAUAGUUUCUUUCUUUCUUCGUGUGUGCACAGACGAUUUGUGACCUUGUUAUUUUCUUAUUGCUAUCAUACUGUAAUCUGGCCGGGGUGUCGUUUGUAGAAAAUAAACGAUGAAGUGUCUAGAAGAAAGUGUUAUCUUGGUCGUACCUCUGAACAAGUUGCACUAAGUAUCUUUUCGACUAGUCAGGACCCAAUAAAAUGUUAAUUUUAUCCAGUCUACAGAACGACAAACUUGUUCUGAAAAUAAAUAUUAGUGAAUAACCAUGUGCACGAUAGUAUACUCUGCAACACACUCAGCCUUGGCCCAUGGGAUCUCCUCACAGUUCCAACAUGAAAAUAACAUAUCAUCAGCCUAGCCAUAAUGCUUGUGCAUGAACGAAACCUCCUUAACACCAAAGAGAAUAAACUCGGGUGUCCCUGACCUUAUGCUCCUCUUACUAUCUGUGGAUAGUGUUAUACCUGAACAUGUGUUCCUGCCAGCAAACACCAAGUUAAGCACCAUAUACCACACAAGUACAAGUUCAUCUUCCCUAAGCAACUGAAACAGAUCGACAGUUAAACCACUAGUAUUGAAAGACAACCGCAUUUUAUUCAUAGAAUGUUCCCAGCAAAGAAAAAACUAAAAAACAUGGGGUCAUCAGAAGUGCUGCUACAUGGAGUUUCCUUUUGUUACUUGCUGCUUUUCUUAUACACCCGAUGAACAAAAUAAUGGACCCCUUGCAAAUUUACAUUUCAGAGUAACGGUUUCAUGUCUUAGUUCAUCGUUUUCACUAUGAAAUAGGAAUAGCUUGAUGUAUUCCUAGUAGAGUACCUACUCAAUACUGAAUGAGUGUUGAUAAGGAAUAAAUGUGGUCAGACUUUUUUUUGGUGAUUUUAGGGGCAGAAAUUACUUCAAAAUAUGAUUGUUUGAGCUGAAAUCUCAAUUAAUCGUCUUCACAUCUGUCAUGUUGCAGAAGAUAUGUCAUGGACAAGAAUUUAUUGUCAUGUUUGAGCUGAAAUAGGAUCACGGAAUAUUGUCUUUUACAUAAUUUAUUAACUUUUGGUCAUUGUCAUGUUGCAGACGAUAUGUCAUGGACAAGAAUUUCAGUGCAUAGCAAGGGGAGAUAUAUUCUCCUGCACAAAGGUAUAUUUCCAUUACGAUGUACAAUAUGUUGAAAAUAUGUUGCUCCAGUGGUUAUGUAUCCACUGGUUAUCUUGCUAUCAGAAUGCUGUUCAAAACAGAUAAACUUUGCUUGAGAAUGUGAGUGCAUGUCAGGGAGAAAAAAAUUCUGUUGCAAACAAGCUGGUGUCUUUUCAUAAUCGCAUACAAAUUUUGUGCAAACUAUAGUGCUAGCUUGUUUAUUUGGUUAUUACUUCUUCUUGGCUAUCAGGCUGUUGUCGAGACCAAUAAAACAACAAAAGGUGCUAAUGCAUGCAGUAAGAGUGCUCGAAGUGGUUCGCUGAGUUGGAUGGAUGCCAAUGAACUACCUGUAAGUGUGCUCAAAUUCAUUUCAUAUGUUCCCCUGUUUUGUUUCUCUCUUCUCAUAUGAUAACUUUUAUUUUCUCUAACAGGCAGGAACUAAAGUAUUCUUGAAGAGCCUGAAAAAUCAUAACAAGGGCGUAGCUUUAGCUACAAUGGUAAGUUCUGAUCCUAAAUUUAGACUUGAUGGUCCUGAAAUUAGAAAUGAAUUCUGGGCAGUGCAUGUCGAUAUGGCACUCGUGCAAACUGAAAAUUUGGUAUGAAGUUGCAAAACGUGUGAUACUCUUGGUGAUGCAGAAAAAGCAAAGAUUGCAUGACCUUCAACCUUUGUACGUGACUAAUAUUUUGCCUAUAUUACUACUUGCAUCAUGCCAAUGCACUGUGUGUUAACAGUUCAUUUUGUUUUCUUGUUUGUAGAUUCAAAAGAUAAAUGGAUGAGUAUAUGGGAGCGUGGCGAUUAUAGUGCAAUGAUGAUGUCGCUCUUCCGUUUCAUGAUGAUGACGAUGGAUGCUUUUAGUUUUAGUUAUGUUGUAGGGAUGACGUUCCCGUCGGGUGUUGUUCCUCAGUUAAGAUGGAUAUUUUCAGUUUAAGUUUUGCUGUUAAGAAAAUUGUUAGAUUAUGCAUCACAUUUGGAUGAUGUUCCUCCUGUAAUAUCCACUAUUGUAAUCCAACAGUUUUGUUCUAAUAUACGAUUUCUUCCUGCCGUGAGUAUAUUGUCUUGUUUUUCCUUC